This 681-nucleotide unclassified non-coding RNA is filed under the name Hevea brasiliensis (rubber tree). Lineage: Eukaryota; Viridiplantae; Streptophyta; Magnoliopsida; Malpighiales; Euphorbiaceae. The record is from RNAcentral.
GCGCAAACUACUUAGGCGGAGUUGUCCUUGACAUUUUAAUAAACUAACAAAUUAGUCUCUACAAUUAGAAGCACCGUUUAUUCCCCAUUAAUUUUAAUAUAAAUAGUCAAAAUGUCCUUUACUAUAUUUUCAAUACAAAACAACUAAGCUCCUAAGGUUCAGUAAAACCUACAGUUUAGUCCCUUGAUUUAAACUUUAUAUUCUUUUUUUUUACAAAUUGAUCCUUAAAUAUUAUAACUAUUUAUGAAUAAGGCCCUAUAUUUUUACAAAUUGAUCCUAAAUAUUCAACCCAUAUAGAGUCUUUUAGUCCCUUGACUAAAUGUAUUUAAAUGAGAAUUAUUUAAUGAUUUGUUAUAUCAUAUAUAAAAUAUAAUAUAAUAUUUUAUUGAAGGCUUAGUUUAUCCUUCAAAUCCCCUCUUGCUUAGUUCAUUUCGGCUCUCAAUCGACAACGACACACCGAUGCCCUGGCCACAUUGGCUCUCAGUUCCUCUUCCCGAUUUCUCUAUUCACCUUUCCUCACAAUGACGCCAUAACCAUAGAGCCCUACCUUCAUCUUCAUCUUCAUCUUUACACUCUCAAUCUCUCACUACCUCUCUAGUCUCCAUCUCGCUUCACUCAUUUUGAUAUUCUAAUUUAUAUCCAAGCUUUCCAAGAGAGGCUCUGAAGUUUCAAUCAUCCCGU